RNAcentral lists this ribosomal RNA (85 nucleotides) under Sulfuritalea sp. RNAcentral's name for it is "Bacterial large subunit ribosomal RNA". It matches the Rfam family "Bacterial large subunit ribosomal RNA", at positions 2841 to 2925 of the family's 2925-position model. Lineage: Bacteria; Pseudomonadati; Pseudomonadota; Betaproteobacteria; Nitrosomonadales; Sterolibacteriaceae. The record is from Rfam by way of RNAcentral.
AAGACCACCACGUUGAUAGGCCGGGUGUGGAAGCGCAGUAAUGCGUUAAGCUAACCGGUACUAAUUGCCCGUGCGGCUUGAUCCU